UGGGAAGUGUUUUCUCAGAGCACAAA
RNAcentral lists this unclassified non-coding RNA (26 nucleotides) under Mus musculus (house mouse). RNAcentral's name for it is "oocyte_clustered_small_RNA9302". The record is from RNAcentral. Lineage: Eukaryota; Metazoa; Chordata; Mammalia; Rodentia; Muridae.